This 157-nucleotide microRNA precursor is filed under the name Pelobates cultripes (western spadefoot toad). The record is from RNAcentral. Lineage: Eukaryota; Metazoa; Chordata; Amphibia; Anura; Pelobatidae.
GCAGACACAUUCCAGCCAAUCAGCAGCAGACCCUCCCUCCCAGACCCUCCCACCUCCUGGACAGCAUCCAUUUUGAAGCUGCAUUCUUAGUGAGCUGUCCAGGAGGUGGGAGGGUCUGGGAGAGAGGGUCUGCUGCUGAUUGGCUGGAAUGCAUCUG